This 275-nucleotide ribosomal RNA is filed under the name uncultured bacterium. RNAcentral's name for it is "partial 16S ribosomal RNA". It matches the Rfam family "Bacterial small subunit ribosomal RNA", at positions 399 to 691 of the family's 1533-position model. The record is from RNAcentral.
GCGUGAGUGAUGAAGGCCUUAGGGUUGUAAAGCUCUUUUGCUAGGGAAGAUAAUGACGGUACCUAGAGAAUAAGCACCGGCUAACUUCGUGCCAGCAGCCGCGGUAAUACGAAGGGUGCUAGCGUUGUUCGGAAUUACUGGGCGUAAAGCGCGCGUAGGCGGCGAUUCAAGUCAGAGGUGAAAUCCCCAGGCUCAACCUGGGAAUUGCCUUUGAAACUAGAUCGCUAGAAUCUUGGAGGGGAUAGCGGAAUUCCGAAUGUAGCGGUGAAAUGCGU